UCCCUAGUGGCUCAGACAGUAAAGAAUCUGCCCACAAUGCAGGAGACCCAGGUUCGAUCCCUGGCUUGGGAA
Molecule: transfer RNA, 72 nt
Filed under: Ovis aries (sheep)
Lineage: Eukaryota; Metazoa; Chordata; Mammalia; Artiodactyla; Bovidae
Rfam family: tRNA
About the family: Transfer RNA (tRNA) molecules are approximately 80 nucleotides in length.
Source: Rfam by way of RNAcentral